RNAcentral lists this long non-coding RNA (408 nucleotides) under Heterocephalus glaber (naked mole-rat). RNAcentral's name for it is "lncRNA (ENSHGLG00000039953.1)". The record is from RNAcentral. Lineage: Eukaryota; Metazoa; Chordata; Mammalia; Rodentia; Bathyergidae.
UUCUCAUCUCACAAGAGGAAGAGAUCAGGGCUUUAUAUGAGGAGGAUUCAGAGGAGGGAGAGCAGAAGAGCAGAUCACCUGGAGAAUAAACAGGAAGUGCUAAGAGAAAUUUACCUUUCCUUCAGAAGCAACCACACAAGUAGAGAGGAUAGAUUUCUCCCAGUGACUGUGGAGAACAAUGGUCCUAAAAUGCUGGAGCUGACUGAAUGAUCACACUGCAUUGCAGAUUGUACCUAGGGUGUUGUGCAUUCUGAGCAAAAUUCUACUGCUGAGCUGUACUCCCAAAGCCUCCUGAUAACUUUUGAAUGGAUGAAGUGCAGCCACACUCUUCUUCACCUCAACUUUACAAGCAUUUCCUUUCAGACCAAGCUAUAUGUCAUUUGGCUGUGAUUUUUUGCUCGUGAUUGU